Unclassified non-coding RNA from Papio anubis (olive baboon), 148 nucleotides. It matches the Rfam family "Metazoan signal recognition particle RNA". From Rfam's summary of the family: The signal recognition particle (SRP) is a universally conserved ribonucleoprotein. NCBI's taxonomy places the organism in Eukaryota, Metazoa, Chordata, Mammalia, Primates, Cercopithecidae. The record is from Ensembl.
GCUGGGCGUGGCGUCGCACGCCUGUAAUCCCAGCUACUCGGGAGGCUGAGGCAGGAGAAUCGCUUGAAUCCGGGAGGCAGAGGUGGCAGUGAGUGGAGACCGCACCACUGCACUCCAGCCUGGGCGACAGAGUGAGACUCCGUCUCAA